RNAcentral lists this ribosomal RNA (759 nucleotides) under fungal sp. RNAcentral's name for it is "eukaryotic LSU rRNA". The stretch from base 212 to 366 matches the Rfam family "5.8S ribosomal RNA". Lineage: Eukaryota; Fungi. The record is from RNAcentral.
GACCUGCGGAGGGACAUUACCGAGUUAGGGUCUCACCGGCCCGAUCUCCCAACCCUUUGUCUACUUGACCAUCGUUGCUUCGGCGAGCCCGUCCUCACGGACCGCCGGGGGGUCUUUGUACCCCUUGGCCCGCGCUCGUCGACAGCCCCCAAAUUUAAAAAUCUUAACUAAACGUGUCUUGAAUCUAAGUAUUAUUGUUAAAUAAAAACAAAACUUUCAACAACGGAUCUCUUGGUUCUGGCAUCGAUGAAGAACGCAGCGAAAUGCGAUAAGUAAUGCGAAUUGCAGAAUUCCAGUGAGUCAUCGAAUCUUUGAACGCACAUUGCGCCCUUUGGUAUUCCGAAGGGCAUGCCUGUUCGAGCGUCAUUAUCACCCCUCAAGCCCUCGGCUUGGUGUUGGACGGUUUGGUGGAGACCCCCUUUGCGGGCUUCUACCCCUCCCAAAGACAAUGACGGCGGCCUCGUUGGACCCCCGGUACACUGAGUUCUUCACGGGACACGUAUCGGACACAUGGGUUCACGGGACACGGUCUGCCUCCCCUCAGGGAGAAUCUUUUUUAUCAAGGUUGACCUCGGAUCAGGUAGGGAUACCCGCUGAACUUAAGCAUAUCAAUAAGCGGAGGAAAAGAAACCAACAGGGAUUGCCUCAGUAACGGCGAGUGAAGCGGCAACAGCUCAAAUUUGAAAUCUGGCCUCUUUGGGGUCCGAGUUGUAAUUUGUAGAGGAUGUUUCGGGUACCGCCUCGGUUUAAAUUUCUUGG